GACGAACGCUGGCGGCGUGCCUAAUACAUGCAAGUAGAACGCUGAAGAGAGGAGCUUACUCUUCUUGGAUGAGUUGCGAACGGGUGAGUAACGCGUAGGUAACCUGCCGUGUAGCGGGGGAUAACUAUUGGAAACGAUAGCUAAUACCGCAUAACAAUGGAUGACACAUGUCAUUUAUUUGAAAGGGGCAAUUGCUCCACUACAAGAUGGACCUGCGUUGUAUUAGCUAGUAGGUGAGGUAAUGGCUCACCUAGGCGACGAUACAUAGCCGACCUGAGAGGGUGAUCGGCCACACUGGGACUGAGACACGGCCCAGACUCCUACGGGAGGCAGCAGUAGGGAAUCUUCGGCAAUAGGGGCAACCCUGACCGAGCAACGCCGCGUGAGUGAAGAAGGUUUUCGGAUCGUAAAGCUCUGUUGUAAGUCAAGAACGGGUGUGAGAGUGGAAAGUUCACACUGUGACGGUAGCUUACCAGAAAGGGACGGCUAACUACGUG
RNAcentral lists this ribosomal RNA (497 nucleotides) under uncultured bacterium. Its description in RNAcentral is "partial 16S ribosomal RNA". It matches the Rfam family "Bacterial small subunit ribosomal RNA", at positions 28 to 507 of the family's 1533-position model. The record is from RNAcentral.